CGUAAAGCGCACGCAGGCGGUUUGUUAAGUCAGAUGUGAAAUCCCCGGGCUCAACCUGGGAACUGCAUUUGAAACUGGCAAGCUAGAGUCUCGUAGAGGGGGGUAGAAUUCCAGGUGUAGCGGUGAAAUGCGUAGAGAUCUGGAGGAAUACCGGUGGCGAAGGCGGCCCCCUGGACGAAGACUGACGCUCAGGUGCGAAAGCGUGGGGAGCAAACAGGAUUAGAUACCCUGGUAGUCCACGCCGUAAACGAUGUCGACUUGGAGGUUGUGCCCUUGAGGCGUGGCUUCCGGAGCUAACGCGUUAAGUCGACCGCCUGGGGAGUACGGCCGCAAGGUUAAAACUCAAAUGAAUUGACGGGGGCCCGCACAAGCGGUGGAGCAUGUGGUUUAAUUCGAUGCAACGCGAAGAACCUUACCUACUCUUGACAUCCAGA
This 434-nucleotide ribosomal RNA is filed under the name uncultured bacterium. RNAcentral describes it as "bacterial SSU rRNA". It matches the Rfam family "Bacterial small subunit ribosomal RNA", at positions 559 to 992 of the family's 1533-position model. The record is from RNAcentral.